Molecule: long non-coding RNA, 1547 nt
Organism: Bombus impatiens (common eastern bumble bee)
Lineage: Eukaryota; Metazoa; Arthropoda; Insecta; Hymenoptera; Apidae
Exons: 2
Source: RefSeq, a predicted model, not a curated record
CAUUUACAUUUUGAAGCAAUCGACGAUGAAAGUAACGAUAAUUCGAUAAGGUUGAAACGUUAUUAUGAAAAGUGAUGUACGCGUCACCGGUGAACAUGGUGAGAAGAACAGUUACGACACGGUUGACAACGUGGCAAGAUAAUCGAAUAACCGGUGCACCGUAGCACCCUUGUUCUCGGUGCAACUGAGCUCACCUGUGUACGUGCCAGACUUUCUUCUAAAGAGCGAGACAGAGGGAAGGGAGGGGGGAAGGAGAGAGAGAGAGAGAGAGAGAGAAGUUUCAUGGCAAUUAUCUGCCCGCGUCUUAACUCGCGGUAUUACACUUUCAACUCUAGCGACGCUGCUUUCCUCGAGGAGGCGGUCUUUUCCGGUAUGCGCCAACUAUGAGUUGCAUCGCGAUGCGAACACCAAGUAAUUCAUUCGUACAAAUUUCGAUUACGAGAGGGUGAAAUGUUCGUAGUUGGUGUCAACACGAAAAGAACAAUUUCGCUGCGAUGUUUAAUAAACAUGUUGUUCUAGGCUCCACUAGCUAUGUAACGAAAAGUAAAAAAUCAAAUUGUAAGAUAUACGGUAGGCUACUUUCGAAAUAAGAACAUAAUCCUCUUUAAAAAUCUCUCCGCUAUCGCGGAAGAUAUUCCCUCUUCUAUAAUUAGCCAGCCAAUGCUCAUUAUUUCUCAUGCAUGACGCUUCGUUAUUUUCGAACUAAUUAAAAUUCGCUGUUGUUGCGCGGCAAAUUCUCCAUUAUCAGGAAUACAGUUUCAUUCGCAUCGAACCCCGUUCCGGAAUACGCGGGAGACGCGUAAGCGCGCGGCCGUAGUCCCGUUCGAUUUUAAUUUCCUGACUACUUUUUAACGACUAUGUACAGAGUAAAAGAGUAAAAAAAAGAGUAGAACAAAAAGGGAAUAUACUCGCGAGACGAAGAUUACUGUUGAUAUAUUCGAUCACUGGUUUAUUGCAUUUCUGUAAAUUUGGCAAAUAACUCAGUAUUAAUAUUGCUCAUAAUAACUCAGUAUUAAGCAUUAUGGACCUUUUAACUCUUGAAAGGCGGUUGUACCAAACGACUUGGUAGGAAUGAGAAUGACACGUCAAGGCGUGUCGUGCGUGCUGGAGUAUCGCGCCGCUGGCUCAUAUUACGUUAUAUUACGAUACUGAUUAUCAAAACGUUAGUCCCGGCGUGUUUGAAUGGAAAUUUCCAGCGCCAGAGUUAUCAAUGAUCAAACAUCGAUAAAAGUCGACUUGAGGUACGAUGUGCUCGUCGUUCAUACAGCAGAGAAACGACGAGUAUAAAUCUCCUUCGGACGUAGAAGGUUGCUUUUACGUAGUCCAAUGCGACAAGAUUCUGAUCAAUUUGGAUAAAAGAUGUUAUUAUUCAUAAUGGAAAGAGGAUAAUGAAUAUUCCCAUUAUAAGGAUGGAAAGUUAUAAAAUUUAUCGCAGAAUGUGACAGUUUCAAUCGUUGGGAAGAUUGCAUGUGAAUUGCAUUGUUCAUUAAUGUGCUCCAAUUCAAGCGGAAACAUACGGCGAUGAAUAGUCAGCAUUCAUUUCUGAG